UACGGGGGGGGGCAAGCGUUGUUCGGAAUUACUGGGCGUAAAGGGCUUGUAGGUGGCCAACUAAGUCAGACGUGAAAUCCCUCGGCUUAACCGGGGAACUGCGUCUGAUACUGGAUGGCUUGAGGUUGGGAGAGGGAUGCAGAAUUCCAGGUGUAGCGGUGAAAUGCGUAGAUAUCUGGAGGAAUACCGGUGGCGAAGGCGGCAUCCUGGACCGGCAUUGACGCUGAGGAGCGAAAGCCAGGGGAGCAAACGGG
RNAcentral lists this ribosomal RNA (254 nucleotides) under uncultured bacterium. RNAcentral describes it as "partial 16S ribosomal RNA". It matches the Rfam family "Bacterial small subunit ribosomal RNA", at positions 524 to 776 of the family's 1533-position model. The record is from RNAcentral.